CACCCUUCUGGGCCCCAGGCUGCCGCCACUGCUGGCGCUCCAGCCUUGGUUGCGUUGCGCCCUUGAGUCCCAGGAGGCGGAGCCAGCCCAGGGCUGCCAGAGGCUUUCCGGAAAGUAUAAUUUAAGCCCAACGUCAGUCUGGGAAUACUAUUCUCCACUCUUCUCCGGAAGGCGGUGGCAGCCGCCAGGCCAGGAAUCCCUUGAUCCUGAAAGUUUUGUGAGAAGGCCUGGUGAGGAGCAAUUGCAACCGCACACAGGAUGGCAGAGCAGAAAAUAGUGUAGAAAGGCUGCAUGCCUUUACUGGACCUAAGAUGGCCAUGAACCGAAGCUGCUGCAGAUCAGAGCAUGGACAGGGCAUAUACAGGUGCCCCUAUCAGAUGUGUCUGGGAAGAUGAGGUAAGUGAUGCA
RNAcentral lists this long non-coding RNA (408 nucleotides) under Sus scrofa (pig). Its description in RNAcentral is "lncRNA (ENSSSCG00045002137.1)". Lineage: Eukaryota; Metazoa; Chordata; Mammalia; Artiodactyla; Suidae. The record is from RNAcentral.